RNAcentral lists this ribosomal RNA (433 nucleotides) under uncultured bacterium. Its description in RNAcentral is "partial 16S ribosomal RNA". It matches the Rfam family "Bacterial small subunit ribosomal RNA", at positions 29 to 507 of the family's 1533-position model. The record is from RNAcentral.
AGCGAACGCUGGCGGCAGGCCUAACACAUGCAAGUCGAACGAACUCUUCGGAGUUAGCGGCGGACGGGUGAGUAACACGUGGGAACGUGCCUUUAGGUUCGGAAUAACUCAGGGAAACUUGUGCUAAUACCGAAUGUGCCCUUCGGGGGAAAGAUUUAUCGCCUUUAGAGCGGCCCGCGUCUGAUUAGCUAGUUGGUGAGGUAAAGGCUCACCAAGGCGACGAUCAGUAGCUGGUCUGAGAGGAUGAUCAGCCACAUUGGGACUGAGACACGGCCCAAACUCCUACGGGAGGCAGCAGUGGGGAAUCUUGCGCAAUGGGCGAAAGCCUGACGCAGCCAUGCCGCGUGAAUGAUGAAGGUCUUAGGAUUGUAAAAUUCUUUCACCGGGGACGAUAAUGACGGUACCCGGAGAAGAAGCCCCGGCUAACUUCGUG